Molecule: non-coding RNA, 149 nt
Organism: Pseudonaja textilis
Lineage: Eukaryota; Metazoa; Chordata; Lepidosauria; Squamata; Elapidae
Source: RefSeq, a predicted model, not a curated record
AAGUUUUCUCCAACUGCCCACUGGUUCCACAGUAAUGGUGAUUUAUAAAGUAGGGGAUAAAACCCCUACCGCCGAUCAUGAAACCUGGAACACCCACUAGUAGGCAGUAGGGACCAGGUUGACUACCACUGUUGUCUAGGAUAUAACAA